Molecule: ribosomal RNA, 396 nt
Filed under: uncultured bacterium
Lineage: Bacteria
Description: partial 16S ribosomal RNA
Rfam family: Bacterial small subunit ribosomal RNA
Source: RNAcentral
AUACGUAGGGGGCAAGCGUUAUCCGGAUUCACUGGGUGUAAAGGGAGUGUAGACGGUGGCGAAAGUCUGAUGUGAAAACCCGCGGCUCAACUGCGGGAUUGCAUUGGAAACUUCGUGACUUGAGUACUGGAGGGGCAGGGGGAAUUCCCGGGUGAGCGGUGGAAUGCGUAGAUCACAGGAGGAACACCGGUGACGAAGGCGGCCUGCUGGACAGUAACUGACGUUGAGGCUCGAAAGCGUGGGGAGCAAACAGGAUUAGAUACCCUGGUAGUCCACGCCGUAAACGAUGCAUACCAGGUGUUGGCGGGCAAGGCCCGUCAGUGCCACAGCAAACGCAUUAAGUAUGCCGCCUGGGGAGUACGUUCGCAAGAAUGAAACUCAAAUGAAUUGACGGGG